AGUGAACGCUGGCGGUAGGCCUAACACAUGCAAGUCGAACGACAACACAGUAAGCUCUCGCUCCUACGGGUGGCGAGUGGCGGACGGGUGAGACAUAGAUCGGCUACUUCUUUUUCUUGGGGGACUUCGUAGAGACGGUUACGCUAAUAGCGCAUACAUCCUACGGCUUGAUGCAAGGGUUAUUCGGAGUUUUCCCGAUACAAUGAGACGAUGUCGGAUUAGCUAGUUGGCGGGGUAAAGGCUCACCAAGGCAACGAUGCGUAGCUGGUCUGAGAGGAUGAUCAGCCACACUGGAACUGAGACACGGUCCAGACUCCUACGGGAGGCAGCAGUGGGGAAUAUUGGGCAAUGGGCGCAAGCCUGAUGCAGCCAUGCCGCGUGAGUGAAGAAGGUCUUCGGGUCGUAAAGCUCUUUUGUUGGGAAAGAACAGCUGUAGAUGUAUCCACGGCCGUCCUGACGGUACCCAAACAGUAAGCAACGGCUAACUUCGUG
RNAcentral lists this ribosomal RNA (492 nucleotides) under uncultured bacterium. RNAcentral's name for it is "partial 16S ribosomal RNA". It matches the Rfam family "Bacterial small subunit ribosomal RNA", at positions 29 to 507 of the family's 1533-position model. The record is from RNAcentral.